CUCAGGAUGAACGCUAGCGGCAGGCUUAACACAUGCAAGUCGAGGGGCAGCAUGACACGGAGAUUCGUCGAAGUGUUGAUGGCGACCGGCGCAAGGGUGCGUCCGAUUAGCUUGUUGGCGGGGUAACGGCCCACCAAGGCUACGAUCGGUAGGGGUUCUGAGAGGAAGGUCCCCCACACUGGAACUGAGACACGGUCCAGACUCCUACGGGAGGCAGCAGUGAGGAAUAUUGGUCAAUGGGCGAGAGCCUGAACCAGCCAAGUAGCGUGAAGGAUGACUGCCCUACGGGUUGUAAACUUCUUUUGUUUGGGAAUAAAAGACGCUACGUGUAGCGUUGUGCAUGUACCUUACGAAUAAGCAUCGGCUAACUCCGUG
Molecule: ribosomal RNA, 375 nt
Filed under: uncultured bacterium
Lineage: Bacteria
Description: bacterial SSU rRNA
Rfam family: Bacterial small subunit ribosomal RNA
Source: RNAcentral